This 497-nucleotide ribosomal RNA is filed under the name uncultured bacterium. RNAcentral describes it as "partial 16S ribosomal RNA". It matches the Rfam family "Bacterial small subunit ribosomal RNA", at positions 28 to 507 of the family's 1533-position model. The record is from RNAcentral.
GAUGAACGCUGGCGGCGUGCCUAAUACAUGCAAGUCGAGCGAACAGACGAGGAGCUUGCUCCUUUGACGUUAGCGGCGGACGGGUGAGUAACACGUGGACAACCUACCUAUCAUACUGGGAUAACUUCGGGAAACCGGAGCUAAUACCGGAUAAUAUAUUGAAGCGCAUGGUUCAAUAGUGAAAGACGGUUUUGCUGUCACUUAUAGAUGGAUCCGCGCCGCAUUAGCUAGUUGGUAAGGUAACGGCUUACCAAGGCGACGAUGCGUAGCCGACCUGAGAGGGUGAUCGGCCACACUGGAACUGAGACACGGUCCAGACUCCUACGGGAGGCAGCAGUAGGGAAUCUUACGCAAUGGGCGAAAGCCUGACGGAGCAACGCCGCGUGAGUGAUGAAGGUCUUCGGAUCGUAAAGCUCUGUUAUUAGGGAAGAACAAAUGUGUAAGUAAAUAUGCCCGUCUUGACGGUACCUAAUCAGAAAGCCACGGCUAACUACGUG